Molecule: long non-coding RNA, 1660 nt
Organism: Corapipo altera (White-ruffed manakin)
Lineage: Eukaryota; Metazoa; Chordata; Aves; Passeriformes; Pipridae
Exons: 2
Source: RefSeq, a predicted model, not a curated record
UGUUUGUUGGCAGAAGGUGGGGAAAACCAGAGAGAGUCUAGGAGACAGUGGCAACAGAUAAGACGAGGCCAUUCCACUAGGCAAGUGUGUGGAGACACAGCUGAGCUAUUACAAACUCCUGUGAGAUUGCUGAGACAAGCCUGGGUAUUGGAGGUGGUUGAGCAGAAUCCAGAAGCCCUGUAAAGAGAGGGAAAGUGAGAGAACUCCACUUGUUCAGUGCAUGGGAGAAAUUUAAAGCAUAAAAUAAAGAAAAUGAAAACUAUCCUAAAAAGAGUAAAAUCUACUGAUGGGAAUAAUCAUUAAAGUAUUUGACCUCCCUCUGCUGUUCCUGUCACAGCUAACACGCUCCUGGCUUGCAGUUUGUCCUUGCCUGUGUUUUUGGCGUGUCUCAAUAAUCCCUCUUAUGUUACCAAAACAGGUGCCACAUAGACACAAGCAAAGAAGUUUUCUUACUGUUCCACCAAAGGAUAUGACUCAUUGUUGAAGGGAUGGUUCAUUUGGUGGAGCAACUAAACUAAAAGUAUGGAAAUUUUCAGGGUUUCCAGUGAUAAGUCUUUCCUUUGGAUAUUUUCUGUGUUAUGGAUACAAGAAAACUUUUGACUGUGGACAUUGGCCUAUUAGGGAUUGACGUGUCGUUAAGUUUAAUUUAUGUGAGCCUCAUAAUGCAGGUGACUGCUUGGUAGUGGAAGUUGAGCUAGAUUUGAAUCUGUAGAAGGUUAUUGACUUGAUCUUUUAAUCUGUCAGCUCAUUCUUCACUCCUCUUUUCUGUUUGGAUGUUGUAGUAUUGAGAUGUUUUUGGAAAGAGUACUGGGAAAACUUGCAAACAUUUUUCAAACAAAAGAUGAUUUGUCUUCAUGGCUGGGAGGGUUCAUUUGGACACUUGCUCUGAAAUUUUUUUUUGUUUGGAAAACUGAAGUUCUUAGAAGUUAGAUGGCCUUUGUUCUUUCCUCUGUCUCAGACAUCUGUAUCAGCUCUCUCACCGAGCUCUUUAUCUUACUUGGCUUUUCUGUGGAUGCCUGGAGGCCUUGGCUCACAUUCUCAAGAGUGUCCACUGGUUCAAGAAGCCAUCGCUGCUAUCAAAUUACCUUGACAGCUGUUGUCCCAUUUCAUAUUUGCCAUCCCCUCCCCCUGGCUCCCUUGUGAUUUUUGGCAGAAGCUGUGGCUAUUGAGCAAUAAAACUUGGAUCUGAGAAUCCUGUUGCUGGUGGGAAAAUGAGAUGAGAGCAUGCUAGUUAAUGCCUUGCAACUUGACUUCUUGAUGAUGUACAAUCAGUAGCAUCUUUAUUUAAAACCAAAACCUACCACUAGCUACUGUGUGGAUUGAGUGGAUAGUUUGUUUACUGUUCAUCUGGAGUUGUGUGAUAGGUGCUGGUCUCUUAAAAUAGCACACUCUAUACCAAGGUGUUUAUAACCAGAAAAACUCUUGAUUCUGAGUCCUUGAUAAAUGCCUAAGGACUGCAGAACAGCUUAGAUGUUCAUGUUAAUGAAAGUGAUCCAUAAGGGCACAAUUGUCUUUGUCUUCAUGUUACUUGUAUCGAUGAUCCUGCCCCUGUGUAACCUGGAAUAGAGCUCCUGUAGUGCUGUUUAGUAGACAUUAAAGAUGACUCUAUAAGAAGUAAUUGGUCUUGCUUUGAUUUGAAUUAAUAAAAUGUAGAUAUUUG